Molecule: ribosomal RNA, 2902 nt
Filed under: Escherichia coli
Lineage: Bacteria; Pseudomonadati; Pseudomonadota; Gammaproteobacteria; Enterobacterales; Enterobacteriaceae
Description: 23S ribosomal RNA
Rfam family: Bacterial large subunit ribosomal RNA
Source: RNAcentral
GGUUAAGCGACUAAGCGUACACGGUGGAUGCCCUGGCAGUCAGAGGCGAUGAAGGACGUGCUAAUCUGCGAUAAGCGUCGGUAAGGUGAUAUGAACCGUUAUAACCGGCGAUUUCCGAAUGGGGAAACCCAGUGUGUUUCGACACACUAUCAUUAACUGAAUCCAUAGGUUAAUGAGGCGAACCGGGGGAACUGAAACAUCUAAGUACCCCGAGGAAAAGAAAUCAACCGAGAUUCCCCCAGUAGCGGCGAGCGAACGGGGAGCAGCCCAGAGCCUGAAUCAGUAUGUGUGUUAGUGGAAGCGUCUGGAAAGGCGCGCGAUACAGGGUGACAGCCCCGUACACAAAAAUGCACAUGCUGUGAGCUCGAUGAGUAGGGCGGGACACGUGGUAUCCUGUCUGAAUAUGGGGGACCAUCCUCCAAGGCUAAAUACUCCUGACUGACCGAUAGUGAACCAGUACCGUGAGGGAAAGGCGAAAAGAACCCCGGCGAGGGGAGUGAAAAAGAACCUGAAACCGUGUACGUACAAGCAGUGGGAGCACGCUUAGGCGUGUGACUGCGUACCUUUUGUAUAAUGGGUCAGCGACUUAUAUUCUGUAGCAAGGUUAACCGAAUAGGGGAGCCGAAGGGAAACCGAGUCUUAACUGGGCGUUAAGUUGCAGGGUAUAGACCCGAAACCCGGUGAUCUAGCCAUGGGCAGGUUGAAGGUUGGGUAACACUAACUGGAGGACCGAACCGACUAAUGUUGAAAAAUUAGCGGAUGACUUGUGGCUGGGGGUGAAAGGCCAAUCAAACCGGGAGAUAGCUGGUUCUCCCCGAAAGCUAUUUAGGUAGCGCCUCGUGAAUUCAUCUCCGGGGGUAGAGCACUGUUUCGGCAAGGGGGUCAUCCCGACUUACCAACCCGAUGCAAACUGCGAAUACCGGAGAAUGUUAUCACGGGAGACACACGGCGGGUGCUAACGUCCGUCGUGAAGAGGGAAACAACCCAGACCGCCAGCUAAGGUCCCAAAGUCAUGGUUAAGUGGGAAACGAUGUGGGAAGGCCCAGACAGCCAGGAUGUUGGCUUAGAAGCAGCCAUCAUUUAAAGAAAGCGUAAUAGCUCACUGGUCGAGUCGGCCUGCGCGGAAGAUGUAACGGGGCUAAACCAUGCACCGAAGCUGCGGCAGCGACGCUGAUGCGUUGUUGGGUAGGGGAGCGUUCUGUAAGCCUGCGAAGGUGUGCUGUGAGGCAUGCUGGAGGUAUCAGAAGUGCGAAUGCUGACAUAAGUAACGAUAAAGCGGGUGAAAAGCCCGCUCGCCGGAAGACCAAGGGUUCCUGUCCAACGUUAAUCGGGGCAGGGUGAGUCGACCUCUAAGGCGAGGCCGAAAGGCGUAGUCGAUGGGAAACAGGUUAAUAUUCCUGUACUUGGUGUUACUGCGAAGGGGGACGGAGAAGGCUAUGUUGGCCGGGCGACGGUUGUCCCGGUUUAAGCGUGUAGGCUGGUUUUCCAGGCAAAUCCGGAAAAUCAAGGCUGAGGCGUGAUGACGAGGCACUACGGUGCUGAAGCAACAAAUGCCCUGCUUCCAGGAAAAGCCUCUAAGCAUCAGGUAACAUCAAAUCGUACCCCAAACCGACACAGGUGGUCAGGUAGAGAAUACCAAGGCGCUUGAGAGAACUCGGGUGAAGGAACUAGGCAAAAUGGUGCCGUAACUUCGGGAGAAGGCACGCUGAUAUGUAGGUGAAGUCCCUUGCGGAUGGAGCUGAAAUCAGUCGAAGAUACCAGCUGGCUGCAACUGUUUAUUAAAAACACAGCACUGUGCAAACACGAAAGUGGACGUAUACGGUGUGACGCCUGCCCGGUGCCGGAAGGUUAAUUGAUGGGGUCAGCGCAAGCGAAGCUCUUGAUCGAAGCCCCGGUAAACGGCGGCCGUAACUAUAACGGUCCUAAGGUAGCGAAAUUCCUUGUCGGGUAAGUUCCGACCUGCACGAAUGGCGUAAUGAUGGCCAGGCUGUCUCCACCCGAGACUCAGUGAAAUUGAACUCGCUGUGAAGAUGCAGUGUACCCGCGGCAAGACGGAAAGACCCCGUGAACCUUUACUAUAGCUUGACACUGAACAUUGAGCCUUGAUGUGUAGGAUAGGUGGGAGGCUUAGAAGUGUGGACGCCAGUCUGCAUGGAGCCGACCUUGAAAUACCACCCUUUAAUGUUUGAUGUUCUAACGUUGACCCGUAAUCCGGGUUGCGGACAGUGUCUGGUGGGUAGUUUGACUGGGGCGGUCUCCUCCUAAAGAGUAACGGAGGAGCACGAAGGUUGGCUAAUCCUGGUCGGACAUCAGGAGGUUAGUGCAAUGGCAUAAGCCAGCUUGACUGCGAGCGUGACGGCGCGAGCAGGUGCGAAAGCAGGUCAUAGUGAUCCGGUGGUUCUGAAUGGAAGGGCCAUCGCUCAACGGAUAAAAGGUACUCCGGGGAUAACAGGCUGAUACCGCCCAAGAGUUCAUAUCGACGGCGGUGUUUGGCACCUCGAUGUCGGCUCAUCACAUCCUGGGGCUGAAGUAGGUCCCAAGGGUAUGGCUGUUCGCCAUUUAAAGUGGUACGCGAGCUGGGUUUAGAACGUCGUGAGACAGUUCGGUCCCUAUCUGCCGUGGGCGCUGGAGAACUGAGGGGGGCUGCUCCUAGUACGAGAGGACCGGAGUGGACGCAUCACUGGUGUUCGGGUUGUCAUGCCAAUGGCACUGCCCGGUAGCUAAAUGCGGAAGAGAUAAGUGCUGAAAGCAUCUAAGCACGAAACUUGCCCCGAGAUGAGUUCUCCCUGACUCCUUGAGAGUCCUGAAGGAACGUUGAAGACGACGACGUUGAUAGGCCGGGUGUGUAAGCGCAGCGAUGCGUUGAGCUAACCGGUACUAAUGAACCGUGAGGCUUAACCUU